GUGCUGCUUUGUAUUGUCUCUGCCUCAACUACAGCAGUGGCCAGGAGUGGUGCUGGCAGAGCUGCCUGCCAAAUCUGCCAGUUUUAGGGGCAAGAGCAGCUCCCCAUGCAGGUGUGCUUCUGUCUGCACAGAGGAUAAAGGGAACAGCUUCGGGAGAAUUAGAAACAGGCAGCAGAGGAGGAGAACACAGAAUAACAGGACAAGAAAGCCUCCCCUUCUGUUCUGCCAUCCCAGGUUCCCUUGAAGAGAAGGCAAAAGCAUUUCUGUGGAGGCACCGUUGUUUCUGCUCACUGGGUGGUCACAGCAGCUCCUUGCACCCUGGACAGGAACCUACUGCAAUACUUGCAUGUCACUGCAGGAGAACAUGGCUUGGGAAUCAGGGGGAGCAGUGA
RNAcentral lists this long non-coding RNA (392 nucleotides) under Chloebia gouldiae (Gouldian finch). Its description in RNAcentral is "Erythrura gouldiae (Gouldian finch) lncRNA (ENSEGOG00005013747.1)". The record is from RNAcentral. Lineage: Eukaryota; Metazoa; Chordata; Aves; Passeriformes; Passeridae.